GGAGUUCGGAUGGUGUCUAGCAACGUUGGGUACCUCGUUUCUUGGUUUCUUGUGUGAGCGAGUGGUUGCUGUUUACGACGUGUUCAUAUAUCGAUUUGUAGUGCUGUAAUGUGCAAAUUAGCGGACUUUAUAGCGGCUCUCUAUUUUGCGUCGUUGUCUUUCGAGCAGCGCCUGUUGUUCCGGUAAAAAUCGAGUUGAAUGAAUCGCCACAGCCCCAACGUAUAUCGCGCAGUGUUGACCAAGUCCAGCAGGAAUUCUGGCAUGGUAUGUGGCUGCACGGAGGAUUCCGAAAAAGAAAAACAACAACAUGGCUAAUAGGAUGUUGCUGCCCAGGGAGUCCUGGCCGAAGAGGUUUACUCAUUCCAGAAGCAAGAAUUGUACAAUUGUAAGGCGAAUGGAAAUAAAUUGACAUCGACUGA
Long non-coding RNA from Ornithodoros turicata, 419 nucleotides. RefSeq lists it as uncharacterized. The record is from RefSeq and is a predicted model, not a curated record. NCBI's taxonomy places the organism in Eukaryota, Metazoa, Arthropoda, Arachnida, Ixodida, Argasidae. The transcript has 3 exons.